UUGAACGCUGGCGGCCUGCUUUACCCAUGCCAGUCGAACGGCAGCGCGGGCUUCGGCCUGGCGGCGAGUGGCGAACGGGUGAGUACUACCUCGGAACGUGCCCAGUAGUGGGGGAUAGCUCGGCGAAAGCCGGAUUAAUACCGCAUACGACCUGAGGGUGAAAGAGGGGGAUCUUCGGACCUCGCGCUGUUGGAGCGGCCGAUGGCAGAUUAGCUAGUUGGGGGGGUAAAGGCCUACCAAGGCGACGAUCUGUAGCUGGUCUGAGAGGACGACCAGCCACACUGGGACUGAGACACGGCCCAGACUCCUACGGGAGGCAGCAGUGGGGAAUUUUGGACAAUGGGCGAAAGCCUGAUCCAGCAAUGCCGCGUGUGUGAUGAAGGCCUUCGGGUUGUAAAGCACUGUUGGCGGGAACGAAAAGGACUGUGCCAAUACCACGGUUCGAUGACGGUACCCGCAGAAGAAGCACCGGCUAACUACGUG
This 483-nucleotide ribosomal RNA is filed under the name uncultured bacterium. RNAcentral's name for it is "partial 16S ribosomal RNA". It matches the Rfam family "Bacterial small subunit ribosomal RNA", at positions 29 to 507 of the family's 1533-position model. The record is from RNAcentral.